GUAAGAGGAUAGGCAUCAGCGGCGGCACCUCCUCCCGGGGCCGGCCUGUGGCGCUGCCUUCGAGGCUCGGGUUUGAACCUGGAGGUGGGGUAAGAGCGACAGGCUCCGUCCCGAGAGGGGGUGAAGGCGGCGGCUUCUCCCCCCCCACCUCACCUUACCUCAGCCCACCGCGGUCAGUGAGAGAGUCCGGGUAAGAUGCGGCUGCCGCCCGGGACUGGGAGUCCGCCAUGGAGGAGGGGAGGAGGAGGAGGAGGGAGGGAGCGGCUGAAGAUGUAGGGGCAGGAGGGAGGCAGGCCGAGUCUCUCAGGAUGUCCGAGAGCGAGAGCGGGAGCGGUGGCGGCGGCGGCGGCGGCCUGAAGACGGUGCGGGUCUGGCGCGAGGCGGCUCGCCGCUGCCGCAAACUCCGCGGCAACUGGCGGCAGUUGAGCGCGAGCGGCCCGCGCCUCAGCCUCCCCUCGGACAUCGGGCACGUGCAGGUGCUCAACCUCGCCAACAACUCGCUGCUCGAGCUGCCCGACGGCCUCGACUCGUCGCUGUCCGAGCUGCGGGCGCUGAUCCUGCGGAGGAACCGCCUGAGGCGCCUGCCCUCCCGGCUCUGCGGCCUGCCGCUGCUCGACGAGCUCGACCUGGCGCACAACUGCCUGGCGGCGCUGCCGGCCGAGCUGGGGGCGCUGGGCCGCCUCCGCCGCCUGUGCCUCAGCCACAACAAGCUGCAGCAGCUGCCGCCCGAGGUCGGCGGCCUGUCCGCCCUCGAGGAGCUCGACGUCAGCUUCAACGAGCUGCGCCAGCUGCCGGCCAGCCUGGGCCUACUCGCCCGGCUCCGCGCCCUGGACGUCGACCACAACCGCCUGAGCCACUUCCCGCCUCAGAUCCUGCAGCUGGCCGAGCUGGAGGAGCUGGAUCUCUCCGGCAACCAGAUCCGGGCCCUGCCCCGGGACCUCCCGAGGCUGCGCUCCGUCAAGAUCCUGUGGCUGAGCAGCCUGCGCCUAUCGGCGCUGCCCGACACCUUCUGCGGCCUGGCCGCCCUCGAGAGCCUCAUGCUGGACAACAACGGCCUGCGGGCCGUGCCCGAGCGCUUCGGCGAGCUGCGCCGCCUCAAGAUGAUCAACCUGUCGUCGAACCGCCUGGAGGAGUUCCCCGGCGCGCUGCUGCAGCUCACCGGCCUCGAGGAGCUCUACCUCAGCCGCAACGAGCUGUCCGUCAUCCCGGCCGGCAUCGCCGCCUUCAGCAACCUGGCCGCCCUGUGGCUGGACAACAACAAGGUGCGCUUCCUGCCCGACUCCAUCGUGGAGCUCUCCAACCUGGAGGAGCUGGUGCUGCAGGGCAACCAGAUCGCCAUCCUGCCCGACUCCUUCGGCAACCUCUCCAAAGUCAGCCUCUGGAAGAUCAAGGACAACCCCCUGAUCCAGCCGCCCUACGAGGUCUGCAUGAAGGGCAUCCCCUACAUCGCGGCCUACCAGAAGGAGCUGGCGCUCUCGCAGCCCGCCGUCAAACCCAGGCUCAAGCUGGUGCUGAUGGGCUCCAAAGGCGCCGGCAAGACCUCUCUCAGGCAGUGCCUGGUUGGGAAUGCACCUUGUGCCCCUGCAACUCACGCCAAGGGAAUCGAGGUGACCCAGUGGGUGGCGGAUGCUGAGAAAAACCUGACCUUCAUUGUCUACGACUUGGCUGGGGACCAGAACUAUGAUCUUAUCCAGCCCUUCUUCCUCUCCCCGGGUGCGCUGUACGUGCUGGUGGUCAGCCUGAGAGCCUAUGCCCCCGAUCGGUUUUAUGAGCUGGUUGGGUAUUUCUUGCACUUGCUCGGUGCCAGGGUCCCUCACGGGGUCGUGUGUGUGGUGGGAGCGCAUGUGGACCAAUGCAAUGAGAAAGAGGUGGAGGAAAAGUGCCUGGACAUCCAUCAUCAGAUCGCCCUGCAGGAGAAGAGAGAUGUUGAGUCCAUGCAGGCUGUGGCCGAGAAGGUGGAUGGGGCACUGGGGCAAGAAUUUGACCUGCGAGCUACAAGCCCACAUGCACCCUUUUACGGAGUCUCUGAUAAGAAUUUGAGGAGGAAGAAGGCCCAGGUACAGUACCUAUUGAACAACCGUCUUCAGAUCCUGUCCCCAGUUAUCACUGUCAGCUGUCAGGGGGACCAUGUUGGAAUUACUCGCUUGAAGGAAAAGCUUCUUUCUGUGGCUGAACAUAGAGAGAUUUUCCCGAAUCUGCAUAGAGUCUUACCCAAAUCCUGGCAGAGGCUGGAGGAACUGCAUUAUAAACCUCAAGAGCUCUGGCUUUCCUGGUGGGAUUCUGCCAGGUUGGGAUUACAAGCUGGUCUUACUGAGGACCGACUCCAAAGCGCCCUGUCCUAUCUGCACGAAAGUGGCAAGCUGCUGUAUUUUGAGGACAGUCUGACUCUCAAAGAGUGCGUCUUUCAUAACUUGACCAAGCUGAUUGACAUCCUGAAUGUCUUCUUCCAGCGCGAUGCCUCAGUUCUGCUCCAGAAACUCUUGGCAGAUGCCAACAUUGAUGAGCUGAGGGCAACACAACUCCAUCAUUAUGUGGAGGGAUUCCUGCUUCAUGGACUGCUCCCUCUGCACAUCAUUCGUCUGCUUCUCAAGCCGCAUAUUAAAACUCAGCAGGAUCUUCAUUUGAUUCUGGAACUACUGGAGAAGAUGGGACUCUGUUACUGCCUCAACAAACCUAAAAUUACCCCUAUAAAUGGUGUACCCAUUUGGUUUAAAUUUCCCUGUUAUGUGAAAAAUGAAGUUCCCCAUGCAGAAGCCUGGAUCAAUGGGUCCAACCUUUCUGGACAACAGUUGGCAAUUGAACAGCUCCAAGUGGAGUAUAGUUUCCCUUUUUUGUUCCCACCAGGCUUAUUUCCCAGAUAUAGUGUCCAGAUCAACUCUCAUGUUGUACACCGGUCAGAUGGCAAGUACCAGAUCUUUGCUUACAGGGGCAAGGUUCCAGUGGUGAUCAGUUACAGACCAACCCAAAGUAGCUUGCAAGCAGACACCUUAUCUAUUGCUAGUCAUGCAUCUUUGCCAAAUAUUUGGACUGCAUGGCAAGCCAUAAUUCCUCUGAUGGAAGAACUGAAUGUACUCCUCCAGGAAUGGCCGGGGUUAUACUUCACUGUGCAUGUCCUGUGCUCUAAGUGCCUUAAAAGAGGGUCUUCAAAUCCUCACACCUUUCCAGGGGAGCUACUGACCCAGUCCAGACCAGAAGGAGUAACUGAGAUCAUCUGUCCCAAAAAUGGGAGUGAGCGAGUGGAUGUGGCUUUGGUCUAUCCUCCGACCCCCACUGUGAUCAGUCCCUGUUGUAAGUGAGCAGUGGGCCAUCGGGCUAGUCUUCAUCAAAAACAAAACCUUUAAAAUUCUGUUCAAUUAUUUGGCAGGCAACAAGGUUUUGGAAAGAAUAAGGUUGACACUAAGCUGAAGUGUUCGUGACCAGUUGUGGAUUGUUUAUUUGGAUAUGCGGAAGGAAAUGGCUAACUUGCAGGUGCUCUUCAACAAUGGAUUUGCAGCAGUUCCAUGAUGGGCCCACAACAUUGGAGAUGUUGUACAUGAAUGAACUAAUAAUUGUCUGCGCACAGCAUAGAAAGAGGCUCCCCUGUCCACUGCAAGUUGUCCUUCCAUGGAUUUCAUUAUUUGAAAGCAAGCUGACCUGAUGCACCCAUUCUUCCAACAAAUAGCGCAGACGCAGUGUUCCACAACUUAUUUUUUGGAAUAGGUGGCUCUUCAGGGAUUUUCUUUUGCAGUGUUUUACUAAAGCCAUACUUUCAGUGUUGUCUGUCGGAAUAAAAUGCCAAAUGCAACUGUUCUGCCCUCGAGCCUGAGGCAUAGAUGGUCUAGAGCAUAUCAGCACUAUUUUGAUUUUUGAACCUAAUGAAAGAUUUAAUUUUAAAGCUUUCAAGAACUGUCUGUGCAAUACUCAGUGUGAUAAAAUAAUCGUACUCGCAUUGUGUUAUCUGCAUUGUCCUCCUUGUUAAUAGUUGAGCAAGGUCCCAAUUGUUCCUGAUCUGAUUCAUCAUACUUUCCACUACACGGAGGAAUGGGCUAAAGCUGCAAGGUCCCAUUGUUUCCAUUUAUUUGUUCAGGGUUAUUAGUCAAAGUGGAAUCCUGGUAAACAAGUAGCAUUUGGAAGAUGCGUUUUCUUGACAAAAUAAUGUCUUAAUCGACACACAACACCUGCAUUAUUAUUUCAUCCUAUCUGUACCCUGCUGAAGUAUGUUUUCCCUUCUCUCUGGGAGCCUCCUCAUCCCUGGGUUGCUACAUUGUAAAUUCAAGUCCUACUCUAGACCUUAAACUAAUAAUCCAGCUGACACUUCAGUAUAGCACCAAGGGAGUAUCAUAAUCUAAAAUGUUUUUGUCUUUUAGUAUUGAGAAAAAUCCAAAAACAUUAUUUGGAGAAGUGUAGGGGAGUUAUCUUGUUGUUUUGGGCAACAUUCGUCCCUUAACGAACAUCACCAAAGAAAAACUUCGCCUGUUAUUGUUUUGAUUGCUGUUUGUGGGAUCUUGCUGUAUGAGAACAAUUGACUGUUUUUGUACAAAAUAGUCACUGCAUUUCAGAAAGUAUUCAAUGGAAUGUGAACCAUUUGGGGACAUUCUGAGAGCAUGAUAAGGCAGUUUAUUAGGACAAGUACUUUCUGCUGCACAGGGCUUUUCAAAGUUAUGCACCUACAAAUCAUUUUUGUUAAAUUAACACAUCUGAAGAGAAGAAGUAAAAUCAGUGCAGCUUACAAAUAUUUUAUUUUUAUGUUGCUAAUAAAAUGACUAUUGCAAUGGAACUGAAACAUUUGCACAUCAAGUCACCUUGGAUAAAUGACAUUUAUUAAAAGGAUCAAUGGAAACUUUUCUGUUUCAGUUUUAUGAUCGCUGCUACACAGGCACAGAAUGAUGUACACCAAUUGAAUGAAGUUCAUAAGUUUGCUGGUGCUGUAGAAAGUUGUUUUGAUAAACGUUGUUCUAAAUAUUUAUUCCAGGAUAUAAUGAGACUGUCAAAGCUAUAUUUGUUAUCCAUCCCUUGUUAUCCUAAAGUAUCACUUUUACAACUAAAGUGUAUGUAAAGCCACUUAACAGAUCACUGUAGUGUAUCUUAUAUAGACAGAUAAAGUAACAUUAGUGAACUGGUUGUGAUUUUACAAUAUAACAGAAGGUCAUCCUAUUGUCCUCUGAUGCCAUCCUUUGAAUCAUGGAUGUAUUAAGUUGAAUUCCCCCCCCCCCCCCAAGACCUUGUGACCAAGAGCUAAUGAAUGACCAGUCAAAGGAUCACACAGUGACAUAUUCUACUCUGAAAGUUUCACUUGGGAGUUUUGAUAUCAGUUGGAGUCCAGGGAGAAACUUAUACACGAUUGCAGCACCUGCUGCAACCAAAUGAAAGUGGAAUGGCUUCCUUUGAAAAAUGUAUCUCAGAUUCAACAGGGAAAAGACAAUGAUGGCAAAUUCUGGUCAACAGUGGUCUCCUGUGCUAUUUGAAGCAGAAGCGUCCAGACACACAUCGGUCUCAGCAGUGACCCCAUGAAGUAGCUUCCUACCAACUCUGGUCAUGGUCAACUUCGUCUCAAAGAAGAAAGGCAGAUAUUUGAAUUUGUUUACUUUAUCUUAGACUCACCUAUACUCAGCAUCAAUAUCUCUCUGCGGUAGAGAAUUCUGAAAACACUUCAUCUCCUCACAGUUUUAGAUGGCCAUUCCCUAACUCAGAGUCUGAGCCAGAAUGCUAAACUCCCCAGGAGAAUCAGUGCUGAACCUUAAUGCUCAUACUUUCUAGGGAAAAUCUGUCCUUUCUUGGGUAAGGAAACCAAACUGUACACAAUAUUCCAAAUGUGGCUGUAGCAAGGCUCCCAAAAAAAACCCCAGAAUUUCUUUCUUGUACUCCAGUUGGAUGAUAGGUUAACAUAGCGUUUGCUUUCUUAGUUUUCUGUAUUUAAGCUGUACAUGAAUGUAUAUGAUUCAUGUAUGAGAACACCCAGGUCCUUGUGCAUGCCAACAUUUCUCUGACACUCUCCACUCAAAAUGUUCUGCUUUUCUAUUUUCUGCCAGUGUGGAUACCUUCACAUUAUACUCUUAUCUGCCAAGUUUUUGCACAUCCUUAAUUAAAUCUCUUUGCAGUCCCUCUGUACCCUUGCACAGCUUAUUUUCUUAUUACUAUAUUUCUUCAAACUUGGUUAUGAUAUACUCUCUCCCCUCGUUUAUAUCAUUGAUCUAAAUUGAACGUUGCUGAAGCCUAAGCACUGAGUCUGCAGUAAACCACUACCUUCUAGAUGCAAUCAAGAAAAAUGACCUGCUGUUUGGACAGAUGGUUGUGUAUAAACUACUACUCCUCCAUCUCACAAGGCUUGUUUUUUUAAAUGUAAUUACUGAUUGUUUUUUGAGAAUCCUGUGGUUCUCUUCCCCCUCUCUCUUCACCCCCCCCCCGACCCACAUCAAGCCUAUUUGUUGCAUCAUCUUAAACUCUUAACAGAGCUGUGAACCCCUACUCCCCUUUCAGCAAUUAAUAUUGUCUGUAUUUAAUCAGGGUAUGGUUUUUAAAUUGCUCUUAUAACAGAUUCUAGCAUUUUCCUUAUUGCUGAGGUCAAGCUAAGUAGCUUGUAAUUCCCUGUGUUUUCUUUCUUGAACAGCUAGGUUAUCUUCUAAACCCUAAAAUAAAGGGAAUUCUGGAAUAUCAAACCAAUGCAUCUACUAUCUCUAGCUACUUCUCUUAAAAUUCCAUGGUAUUAUUCAUCACGUCAAAGACAUUUGUUUGCUUUUACUCUCAUUAAUUUUUUCUGCACUAUUUCUUCACCAAUCUGUUCUCCACUUACAUUUGAAUCUUGGAUUCCCUUACCUUGGAUGCUUUUUUGUGCUCUAUAUCAUAUUAGGGGAAAAAAAACAAGGUUUUGCUACAGUUUUACAGGGCUCUGGUGAGACCAUAGUUAGUCCUGUGCAUACAUUUGGUCUCCUUGCUUGAUAGUGCAGUAGCUUUCAUUGAAUUUUCACAGAAUGGAAAAAAGCCCUAGGCCUAUCAUGUCUGCACCGGUCAACCUAUCUGUUCAAAUCCACUGUUCAAGCACUUUGCCCGUGGCCUUAUAGGCUGUAGCAUUUCAAGUGCUUAUUCAAAUAUCUUGAGUUUCUAUCUCUAUCACACUUUUAAAGCAGUAAGUUCCAGAUACCUACUACCCUCUGCCAAAAAAAACUUUUUUCCUCAAAUCUCUGAACCUCUUAUUCCUCACAUUUAACUGUGCCCACUGAUUAUUGACUCCUCUACUAAUAGAAAUACUUCCUUUGUUUCUCCCCAUCAAUCCUAUCUAUGUUUCUCAUAACUUUGCAUGAUUCAAUCAGGUUCUGUUCUCGAUAUUCUCUGCUCUAAGGAAAACAACCCCAGUCUUACCUGGUCUCUCUUCAUAGCUGAAUCACUCUGACCCAGGCAACACUGUGGUGAAUCUCCUCUGCACCUUCUCUAGUGUCAUCACAUCUUUCCAAUAGUGUCGUUUAAUUGAUCAUUCUUCAAGUGAGAAGGUUGACUCUUCAUGAAGUGGACAGCAGUAUCAGCAAAUCUUCAUGAAUGCAUGAUGGAUAUUACAAAACAUGGUUGUGUAUUCCCAACAAGGACCUCAUUCCGUCCCAUUGAAUGAUAACUCUACGAGUUAGAGGUUACCUGUCUCUAAUACGAUCAGGGCUGGCAGUAAACUGUUUCAUGUGCAAUUGUUUUCAUGUUCACCCUGUGAGUUUUUAAAAAUUCGACCUCAGGAUGAGACUCUCGUUGACAGGCUCAACAAUUUACCGUCCUUUCCAAAAAUUGGUCUCUGCAAGUGUUGGUGGCUGCCUCUUUGAAUCCUUAGCAGAUACUUGAUGCAACUGAGCUGCUGACUUGACUGACCACUUUGAAGAACAGUUAAGAGGUUGUCAAAUUGCUGAAGGACUGUGAUAGGGUGAGGUGCCAUAUGUACAUCAGACCAGCGAAGGGCAACAGGUUUCUUUCACAAAACACAUCGGUGAGUCUGCUAAGAGCCAGUGGUGAAUCCAUCAGAUAUUUAAUCCAGGCCCUAAUGUUUUUAGUCCAUAUCUUGGAGAACACCCUUGCCUGUAUUGAGAUUGACAUCUUCCCCCACAUUGUGAUGCUCCAUUUCUUUCAGUGAAGGAUCAUUUUGCCAUUUGUCCACCAGACACAUUCUACAUUAAACAUGUGGCUGGUGAGAGCCCUUCUGCAUGACAAUUGGAAGCAAUUUCUCAUUCCUGAUGUUUCCUGUUUAUUUUGAUGCUGACCAUUCAGUCCUAUUAAUAUUUAAUGGAUUCUGGACGUUCACCUCCUUACAGAUGCUGCCUUGUCUGAUGAAAAUCUUCUGUUUUUAUUUUAAUGAUUUCUGUUCUUUUCCAGCUAUUGCAAACAGCAGUUAACCAAAUUAGAGAAUCUUACAGCACAGAAAGAAGUUCAGCCUGGCAGCUGUUUGAAAGAGUUAACCAAUUAAUCCCUCCAUGGUUCUGCAAAUGUUUACUUUUUGGGUGGCCUUUUAAUUAUUAUGUGUACACAGUUACAAUAAGUCCGUUAGUGUUGGUGAAUUUAGCACUAGGUCUUAACCUGUAUCUAUUUGAAAUUGAGUGACACAAAGACCAAGCACCAAUUUGUUGACCCCUGCACCAGCAGUGUUUUUGAACUAGAGCAAGUAAUUCUCCUUAAAUUUUUAAAGUAUAAUCCUAGUGAGAAGAAAAACAUUUUGGUAUGGAGCUGCAAAUGGGGAGCAGGAGCAACCCUGCUUCAUGGAAAAGUAUUUUUCAAAUACAGAUGGUGGCCCAACCCCAGGAGCUGCCAGCCCAAUCAAAGCUUGAACUCCCUCAGCAGUGCCACCAGCAGCAGUGGCCAGUGCUGAUGCUGCAGCUGCAGUCAAGGAUGCCUCAGUGGCUUGUGUCCUCUUAAAGGAAUAAGCAAUGGGGGAAUGACAAGGAUCAAAAUGCAUGCCCUGCUGGGACAUUGCCCUUAAUUGGCUACUUAAUUGUUUCAGUUGGGUUCCUGCUGGCCAGGUGAUCUGCUAAUUGCCAUACCGUUGGGAAAAUAACACAGCAGUGAGAAGAUAUUGAGUGUUUCCCAAACCCCCAUAACACCCAUCUGUACCAUUAGUCUAGCCUUCCUUCCUGCCAAUACUGUUUAAUUUUCAUUAGCCACCCAAUCUGAUAAUGUCACACAAUCUUUGGGUGGAGACAGGGUGUUCCACAUUAGCUUUCAUCAGGAAUAAAUGUUUUCUGUACAGCUGCCUGUGAGUCCUUUAUAAUUAUGCCUGACUAGUACUGUAGUUGUAUUAAUUGUUAUCAUGCAAUAAACUCUUGUUAAAGAAAA
RNA transcript from Hemiscyllium ocellatum (epaulette shark), 9276 nucleotides. It is a transcript of the gene named multifunctional ROCO family signaling regulator 1, with no coding region annotated. The record is from RefSeq and is a predicted model, not a curated record. NCBI's taxonomy places the organism in Eukaryota, Metazoa, Chordata, Chondrichthyes, Orectolobiformes, Hemiscylliidae. The transcript is spliced from 3 exons.